Podarcis raffonei (Aeolian wall lizard) is the source of this 1095-nucleotide long non-coding RNA. RefSeq lists it as uncharacterized. The transcript has 2 exons. NCBI's taxonomy places the organism in Eukaryota, Metazoa, Chordata, Lepidosauria, Squamata, Lacertidae. The record is from RefSeq and is a predicted model, not a curated record.
CUGGUUGGAGCUCAAACAUAAAUGCUUAGAGCAGGGGUCAUCAGUGUGCCCUCAGAUGUUGCUGGACCAAUCCAGUCAUCCUUUACCACUGACCAUGUAGUAGUGCAACAAUCUGGAGGGUCCCAUGUUUGUUUUCUCUGGCUCAAGAGCCUAGUGCUGUUAAAAUAAGCCAUUUAGGAGUUGUUCUACUGAAGCAAGCUAGGCUACUUUGUAUAGUAAACAAUUCCAUUUAGCUUUAUCAGCUUUUAGAGAAUUUUGAGGUCAGCACAGCAACUGUCUAAACUGGAUUGUGAGGAUGAAUGCAUUAUUGAAAAUGUAUCCUGUGACAGCAAUGGAUUACACAGCUGUGUUUUAGUAUGGCUCAUAGAGGUGAGUGUAAUUGAUAGACCUGUGCAACAAAGGCACCAGGGGAUGAGCACCAAGGAGAGGAAGUCCAUUGCUGCUGCAGGAGGAGGAAGGAGGCCAGCUCACUUCUCAAAGAUUUAAAGAGCGGCCUGAUUUUCUCAUGAGUGCCAACAUAUUACUGCAUAGGAUUAUGGGGCCAGCCAUCAUUGUAAAUGCAACCUUGGGGGAGGUGAAGAAUGUCACAGGGCUUGUGAAACUUCCUCAUGCCCAUCCUGCUUAUUCACUGAAAACCUACGUAAUUAAUCGAUCCAAUCUGCCAUAGUUGGCUGCCUCUUUGUUAAUUAUAAACAAGGUACCCACCAAGCCGGAUAGAUGACUAAUAACAUGUGAUGUAAUGCUAGUUUUCAUGACAUCGUUAAGGUGUGCUUAGAACAGAAUUGGCUACAUCUGGCAUCUACCUGCUUUUUGGAUGUGGAGAGCAAAUAUGACCACCUCCAUGACUGUAGCUAGAUAUAUCUGUCUUUGCUCUGAAUACUAUCACUACAACAUAGUUAUUGAUUAGCCUUUGUCAAUCAAGAAUUAUAGCCAGAGCAAGCCUCAUGCCUAUUGUAUACCUUGAAAGAUACAUCCAUGUAUCUUCCAUUUUAUUUCCAAAUAAAAUGGAAAUAAGACUGUUCCAUAACUGCCAAAUAAUUGGGCAUGGGUAGCAUUCAGCUGACAGCUGCAAAACGUUGUUACAUAUUAUUAUUU